Pelobates cultripes (western spadefoot toad) is the source of this 5380-nucleotide non-coding RNA. Lineage: Eukaryota; Metazoa; Chordata; Amphibia; Anura; Pelobatidae. The record is from the annotation of a GenBank genome assembly.
AAACUCUAGCAAAGAAGCAGGAGACUGAAAUACCAAAACCAAAAACAGGUAAAUAUUUGAAAUUAUUAAAUUUAGAAAGACAUUCAGAUAAGAUAUAAUGGCAUGGAGUUUGGAAGUAUUUUGCCAUCUGGAAAUACCAUUAAAACAAGGCAAAUAAAAGCCACCACUAACUUCUUUAAAUAGCACAAAUAAUGAACACGCUUCACAUAUUUUUAUCCACGAAUCAUUAGAGCAAAGGAAACACCAAAUUUAUCUGAUGCAUACUCCGGUAUCAAUAUUGCCUUUUCACAUGCUUAAUAUAUUUUUGGCUUUGUCUUUUUUGUCUAUAGAUAUAUUUUCUUUAUAGCUUACCUUCUAUUUACGUGUAUAGAUCAUUUUGUUAUGAGUUUUAUUUAUAACUUGACAAAGAGUGGAGUUUCCUAUUUUAAGCCUGUCACAUCAGAUCUUGUGAGAUACCCAGCUUCUAGUGUCCUGCUUCAUACAAUGUCUCCAAGCAAUAUGUAAAAACAUUGCAUUUACUCAGUUCAUGGCUAUGCCAACAUUGAUGACAUGCUAUGUGUUGUGAGGAUGUGCAAGAUCACAAGUAUAUGCCAAUUUAAGAAAAAUAAAAGUGUGCCAACUAGGAGCGAGAUCCCAUGGGCUAUAAAAAUGACAAACAAAGGCAAGGUAUAUGAGAAGGGACAGGCAACAGCUUCUGGGGACCUUUGUUGGUAGCGUUAAAAAAAAAAAAAGUUGUCAUUAUGGAGCAUUAAUCAUACAAAUAAGAAAAAAAACAAUGAUAACAUUAGUUUCUUUGAUGGACCAUGUUAAAGUAAAAUAACAUAUAAUUCAAAUUCAUCAUUCAUUCGUUAAUAGCUGCACGAUAGGCUAGUUUUGAUUGAAUUCAAAUACAUAUUAGAUAGUUAGAGUGUGACAAACAAUUAUUUACUAACACUUCCUAUUCUCAUAUUCCUUAUAGUAUUCAAUAUAAUAUCUUCCACAGAGACAUCAGUAAAGAAGGAGGAGACUGAACCAACAAAAGCAAAGACAGGUAAAUAUUUGGAAUUAUUUUUUUAUAUUAUAAUAAAAUGUGUUGGGUUAUCUUAAAGCAUGUAUAAAACUAUCCUUAAAUUUUUGAGAUUUUUCAUUUCAAAUCUAUAUUCUACAUGUAUACCCUUCAUAGAACUUCAUGAAAUUUGUUAGCAUUCUAUAAAUAUACAGUGAUAUUGAUAAUAUUUUCUGAUUUUAUAUGUUUCAAAGGAUGAAGUCAUAUGCUUUUAAUUUGCAAAUGAUAUGGGCAAAAAAGAGUUUUUUUUUUUUUACUUAAAUCAUGAAAAUAAGGAAAUUCAAAGUGGCCAUUGACUCUUUUUAUAGAAGCAGUAGUUUUUGCUUGAAUCAAAUUUAGGUUACACAGAUAGACUAGAUAUGAAGUAAAUUAAUCACUAACUUUGCCUAUUUACAUGUCAAUUAUAAUACAUAAAAAACAUUAAUAAUACAUUCUUAGAGGUGCCAGGGGAAAGAAAAGAAACUAAAGCACCAAAAAUAAAGACAGGAGGUACAUUUUUUUUGUUAAGUUUUAGCAUUCUUAAUCUUCAAACUUCUAUGUUAUAUCAGCUUUUAUCACACUUUUGUAUAUUAUUAUCUUCCCAUAUCCUUCUCAACAAAUUUGUGUUUUGAGUAUGUAAAAGUUAUGAAAUGUAUAUUAGAAUUUAAGAAGGUGAUGGAGAAAGAAUGCUGCCAUUAAUAUCUGAAUCAAAAUGAUUAUUUUUUGUAAAUUGUUAUGAAAAUAACUUUUUGGGCUCAAAUCUACAUUAGAUCAUUAGGUGUAAUAAUUGGAUUUCAAAAUCUAAAUGAUUAUCUUCCACAGAGACUCCAGUAAAGAAACAGGAGCCUGAACCAACAAAAAUAAAAGGUAGUUGUGUAAAAAGAAUUGCUUAAUUUAGAGAGACACUGAUGGACACUUUAUUGACUAAAGCCCAGCCAUAUGGACUGCAAAAUCCAGACAUUGUUCACGCUAUUCAACAAUAACCAGAUUUUGCAAUUCAGGCCCAGAACAGGCUUGAAUAUGGUCUGGAUUUUGGCUGGGCUGAAUGUCACUGCUGUAAAAAAAAUGUAAUUCAUUUAUUUUUUUACAGGUUUUAGUUUUAUUGCCACCGGUCACUAUCAUUAGGGUGAGGGGGUAGGUAGGGUUAUUUCUUUCUAAUGAGCAAUGAUGAGAGAAUUAACUAGGGGAAUGGGAAGGAAGGGAGGGGACAUGCCUCUAUUUGGAGAAGGAAUGCCCACCCUCCAUUGUUUAUUUACGCCCCCACCCAUCACCUAGGGGUGGGGGAGAAGGACACUUGGUCCCUCCCCAGAAUAUUAAAAUUAAGGCUGCCAAAGGUUGGUAGGGGAAGGUGGGAAGACAUUAGGUCCAAAUAAUGAUCCCUUUAAUAUUAUAGUUAAGGUCUCCCCAUUUUAUUAUUUAGAGAUCCCACCCACCACUAAUUGGUGGGGGCUCGGGUGGGGGACAGUAUGUCUUCCCUUUUAUAUUAUAAUUGCACCAUUGGCCACCAAUGAGUGGGGGCAUAUGAGGACAUUAGGAUGUUCUGUCUCUUUGUUAUUAAUCCCCCAGCUCUGGUAGGGGUGGGGCAGGGGCUGAAAGGUGAAAUACCCUGACUCGCUGCCCACGGACUGAGUAUGCCUCCUGUUAUUUCACAGGCUCCAUUCUCAUGGUAUAGGAUCUUUCGAUCAACUAGGUAUCAGUGGUUGCCCAGUAACUAGUUUUAAAUGUUUAGCAGAUUGUCCUCACCUUCCACAUGACAGGUGGUGGUAAAGCCUAAUUGUUUAUCUUUUUUAACUUUUUUUUUAUGUGGAGACUGGCUAUCAAGCACCAGCCAGCUACCACAUAAUUAACCCUUGAAGUGCUAAAGGUUAUUUAACUAAUUGCCCACUGGCUACUGUCAGCAGGCAAAUAGUGCUUAAAAUUAUUAUUCACUUGCACAAAAACAAGUGAAUGAUAAUUUGGUAAUAUGCAUUGUACUGGAUGCAUUCAGUCCCAUACUUUAUUAAAACUUGUGAUUUAUGACUCUUCCAAGAAAUGUACUUUUUAAACAUUUUAGCUGCAAAAGCCCUGAUUUUAAUCAGGACAUUGAAUGCAUCCAGGCAGUUGCUGCAGAUUCUCUGGUAUUCUCUGAUAUUUGACUGGAGUAAAUAUGAAAAUUAUGUCAGAAUUUGGUCAUUUUCACCAGAGUUUAGCUAAUCUAUUUGGUGAAUAACUCCACCAGACCUAAUAACAUUGAUACUCAUGACUAAUCUUUCCUUUGUGUAAAUAGUACUUGUGGCAAAUCUGUGGGGUCUAUGCAUUAAAAUGCCAAAUGGUAACCAAACAGUAAUUGAACACUCUUCAGUUUUCAUAAAUUUGUUGUUUUAACCAAGAUAAGAUAAAUUCAGUUAGUUCAACCAAAUUUGCACUUCUAUCCAACUGCUUUCAUAUAUACUCACAAAUGAAUAUUGCCGUUGCACAAACUUUGUAUUUUUUUGGCUUUGUCUCUCUUCUCUCGGGAUAUAUUUUCUCUGAUGUUUACCUGUUAUUUACUUGUAUGAAGAUUUUUGUUAUGUAUUUGAAAAGUGUGUUUUAUUAUUUAUCUCUGUUUACAUACUUAGUAACAUAUAGAAUGAAGCAUAUAAGAGUUUUGUUAUUUACAGCUUAAAAUGUGAAUUUGAAGUAAACUAAAGCUACCAUUCAGUUUUUUGAUUGGCUGGGUCCAAUUCAAAAUUAGCACGUUUAGCAAAUUGUUAUGGAAACUGUUGUUUUUAGUUAAACAUAAUUAAGAUUACAAAUAUAGACUAGAUAUAAAGACAUUUAUUCACUACCUCUGUCUGUUUACAUGCCAACUAUAAUACAUUACUAACUGAUUGAUAUCAUUUUCACAGAGAUUCCAGAGAAAAAACAAGAAACUGAAGCACCAAAAGUAAAAACAGGUAUUUUUUUUCCAUAUUUGAUCAAUUUUAGCACUCUGUAAGUUCCAGUUGUCACCUUUUAUUACAUUUGUGUAAUGUAUUAAGGUCCAUAUUUUCAAGGAAUGCAUUGAGUGUGUAAGAGUUUUGAAAUAUACUGGUGAAUUUAUGAAAAUAAGGGGAAAAAAUUGCUACUGUUAAUUUAUUUUAAUUAAUACUUUGGAAGCAAAAUCAUUUGAUUGUAAAUUGUUAUGAGAACCCCUUUUGUAACUCAAAUAUACAUUAAAUAGGUAGAGAAGAGAAAUAGAUUUCUGCCCCCACAUUAAUUACAGUAUACACUAAAUACCUUUCACAGAGACUCCAGUUAAAAAAACGGAGGCUGAACCAACAAAAACAAAAGGUAAUUGUGUGAAAAGAUUUGCUUUAUUAGACAGCACUGAGGCCUAAUAAGAGUAAUAGUCAUGGCCAUGUUUCCUUUGUGCAACUGGUACUCAUGGCAAAUCCAUGGGCUGUUUUAACCAAUGUGGCUAUUUGAAAAGGGUAAAUUCAGUUACUUGAACCAAAUUUGCACUUUCAUGCAGCAGCAUAUUGCAUUAGCACAAGCUUGUAUUCUUUUGGUUUUGUCUCUCUUCUCUUAUUUACUAUAUAUUUACUUUAUGACUUACCUACUGUGUACUUAAAUAAAGAUUUUUGUUAUGUAUUUGCAAAGUGUGUUUUAUUAAUCUCAGCUUUACAUUAGUCACAACAUAUAGGAUGGAGUAAAUAUUAAUUUUAUUAUUUUCAGUUUAAAAUAUGGAUAUAAUUAAAAGGAAAGCUACCACUGACUUCUUUGACUGGCUUUGCCAAAUUCAAAAAUAACAUGUUUUGUAAAUUCUUAUGGAGACAAUAGCUUUUUACUUAAUUCGAAUCUAGAUUACCUAUAUAGGGAUAGAUAUUCACUAACUCUACCUGUUUACAUGCCAGUUAUAGUAUACACUAAAAAUCAUUAGUACAGUAAAUUUCAGUAAUUGAUUAAUAAUAUAUUUGCAGAUACUCCAGGGAAAAAACGUGGAACUAAAGCACCAAAAAUAAAGACAUCUUUGUUUUUGUCCAUUUUUGAUACAUGUUACGGUCUAUAAGCUUCACUUGUAUAGCACAUUUAUCACAGAUCUGCAUUCUGUUAGGCUCCUCUUUGUCACUGUCCUUUCCAAUGUCUGCACUGAGUGUGUUAGAGUAUUUGAAACAUUCUGGGGAUGGGAAAAGCAAGGGAAAAACAUUUUAUUAAAUGAAUACUUUGAAAGCAAAAUCCUUGUUGAUUGUAAGUUGAUUUAAAACAGGUUUGUUAAAUCAAAUACACAUUAGAUAGGUAGAGAAGAGAAAUAGAUUUAUGAGUCUACCUGAACUCAUGUCAAUUAUGGUAUACACCAAUUAUCUUUCAUAGAGACUCCAGUGAAGAAACAGAAGGCUCAACCUACAAAAACAAAAG